GAUGAACGCUGGCGGCGGGCCUAACACAUGCAAGUCGAACGCUGGAAAUCUAGCUGGCUAGAUUGAAGGAGUGGCGAGCGGGUGAGUAAUACAUAAGCAUCCUAGGCACUAAGAGUGGGAGAAUCUCUGCAGACGGUGACAAAUACCGGGUAGGGAAGCGGAAGGCGUCUUCUGAUUAUUAAAGGUUAAAAACACUGAUGGUUGGUCUGAUUGCGGAUUAGUUAGUUGGUGAGGUAACGGCACACCAAGACGAUGAUUCGUAGCCGGCCUGAGAGGGUGAACGGCCAGAAUGGGAAUGAGGCACAGCCUAGUACGGUACGGAGGGCAGCAGUAGGGAAGUUUAGGGGAUGGGGGAAACCCUAACCGAGCCACGCGGCGUGAGUGAUGCCGGCGUUCGGGUUGUAAAGCUCUGUUGUAAGGGAAGAACGGUGGAUAGAGAAUAUCUAAUUGACGGUACCUUCACAGAAAGCAACGGCUAACUACGUG
RNAcentral lists this ribosomal RNA (486 nucleotides) under uncultured bacterium. Its description in RNAcentral is "partial 16S ribosomal RNA". It matches the Rfam family "Bacterial small subunit ribosomal RNA", at positions 28 to 507 of the family's 1533-position model. The record is from RNAcentral.